RNAcentral lists this ribosomal RNA (478 nucleotides) under uncultured bacterium. Its description in RNAcentral is "partial 16S ribosomal RNA". It matches the Rfam family "Bacterial small subunit ribosomal RNA", at positions 28 to 507 of the family's 1533-position model. The record is from RNAcentral.
GACGAACGCUGGCGGCGUGCUUAACACAUGCAAGUCGAACGGGAUUUAGUAGACAGAAGCCUCGGCUAAAGAUUACUAAUGAGAGUGGCGAACGGGUGAGUAACGCGUGAGCAACCUGCCUAUGACAGUGGGAUAGCCUCGGGAAACCGGGAUUAAUACCGCAUAAAAUCGUAGAAACACAUGUUUUAACGGUCAAAGAUUUAUCGGUCAUAGAUGGGCUCGCGUCUGAUUAGCUAGUUGGUGAGAUAACAGCCCACCAAGGCGACGCUCAGUAGCCGGUCUGAGAGGAUGAACGGCCACAUUGGAACUGAGACACGGUCCAAACUCCUACGGGAGGCAGCAGUGGGGAAUAUUGCACAAGGGGGGAAACCCUGAUGCAGCGACGCCGCGUGAACGAAGAAGGUAUUCGUAUCGUAAAGUUCUGUCCUAUGGGAAGAUAAUGACAGUACCAUAGAAGAAAGCUCCGGCUAAAUACGUG